This 453-nucleotide ribosomal RNA is filed under the name uncultured bacterium. Its description in RNAcentral is "bacterial SSU rRNA". It matches the Rfam family "Bacterial small subunit ribosomal RNA", at positions 9 to 507 of the family's 1533-position model. The record is from RNAcentral.
CGAGUUUGAUCAUGGCUCAGAACGAACGCUGGCGGCAGGCCUAACACAUGCAAGUCGAGCGAGGACUUCGGUCCUAGCGGCGGACGGGUGAGUAACGCGUGGGAACGUGCCCUUUGGUACGGAAUAGCCCCGGGAAACUGGGAGUAAUACCGUAUGGUGUCUUCGGACUAAAGAUUUAUCGCCAAAGGAUCGGCCCGCGUUGGAUUAGGUAGUUGGUGGGGUAAUGGCCUACCAAGCCGACGAUCCAUAGCUGGUUUGAGAGGAUGAUCAGCCACACUGGGACUGAGACACGGCCCAGACUCCUACGGGAGGCAGCAGUGGGGAAUCUUAGACAAUGGGGGCAACCCUGAUCUAGCCAUGCCGCGUGAGUGAUGAAGGCCCUAGGGUUGUAAAGCUCUUUCAGCUGGGAAGAUAAUGACGGUACCAGCAGAAGAAGCCCCGGCUAACUCCGUG